RNAcentral lists this ribosomal RNA (586 nucleotides) under Sardinella gibbosa. RNAcentral's name for it is "partial 16S ribosomal RNA". It matches the Rfam family "Bacterial large subunit ribosomal RNA", at positions 1814 to 2606 of the family's 2925-position model. Lineage: Eukaryota; Metazoa; Chordata; Actinopteri; Clupeiformes; Clupeidae. The record is from RNAcentral.
CAUCGCCUCCUGCUUAUAAUAACAUAGGAGGUCCCGCCUGCCCUGUGACCAAAAGUUUAACGGCCGCGGUAUUUUAACCGUGCAAAGGUAGCGCAAUCAAUUGUCUUUUAAAUGGAGACCUGUAUGAAUGGCAUAACGAGGGUUUUACUGUCUCUUUUUUCUGGUCAAUGAAACUGAUCUGCCCGUGCAGAAGCGGGCAUAAUAACACAAGACGAGAAGACCCUAUGGAGCUUUAGACGCCCACCAGCCGCGAAGAGCACCCCGACGAGGGGCCACCAAAUAACGCGAUCGUGGUACAAACGUCUUCGGUUGGGGCGACCACGGGGGAAUACAAAGCCCCCGAGAGGAUUGGGGAUCCAACCCUAAAACCAAGAGCCACAGCUCUAAGUCACAAAACAUUUGACCCAGAAUGAUCCGGCUCAUUGCCGAUCAACGGACCAAGUUACCCUAGGGAUAACAGCGCAAUCCUCUCCCAGAGUCCAUAUCGACGAGAGGGUUUACGACCUCGAUGUUGGAUCAGGACAUCCUAAUGGUGCAGCCGCUAUUAAGGGUUCGUUUGUUCAACGAUUAAAGUCCUACGUGAUCU